This 913-nucleotide ribosomal RNA is filed under the name uncultured marine archaeon. RNAcentral's name for it is "bacterial SSU rRNA". It matches the Rfam family "Archaeal small subunit ribosomal RNA", at positions 1 to 921 of the family's 1478-position model. The record is from RNAcentral.
UUCCGGUUGAUCCCGCCGGACCUGACUGCUAUCGGAUUGAUACUAAGCCAUGCGAGUCUUUGUAGUAAUACAAGGCAUACGGCUCAGUAACGCGUAGUCAACCUACCCUAUGGACAAGAAUAAUCUCGGGAAACUGAGCAUAAUUCUUGAUAGAUCAUAAUGCCUGGAAUGGUUUAUGGUUAAAAUGAUUCGUCGCCAUAGGAUGGGACUGCGGCCUAUCAGCUUGUUGGUGAGGUAAUGGCCCACCAAGGCGAUAACAGGUACGGGCUCUGAGAGGAGAAGCCCGGAGAUGGGUACUGAGACAAGGACCCAGGCCCUAUGGGGCGCAGCAGGCGAGAAAACUUUGCAAUGUGCGAAAGCACGACAAGGUUAGUCCGAGUGAUUUCUGCUAAAGAGAUCUUUUGCUAGUUAUAAAACCACUAGUGAAUAAGGGGUGGGCAAGUUCUGGUGUCAGCCGCCGCGGUAAAACCAGCACCUCAAGUGGUCAGGAUGAUUAUUGGGCCUAAAGCAUCCGUAGCCGGCUCUGUAAGUUUUCGGUUAAAUCUAUACGCUUAACGUAUGGGCUGCCGAAAAUACUGUAGAGAUAGGGAGUGGGAGAGGUAGACGGUACUCGGUAGGAAGGGGUAAAAUCCUUUGAUCUAUCGAUGACCACCUGUGGCGAAGGCGGUCUACCAGAACACGUUCGACGGUGAGGGAUGAAAGCUGGGGGAGCAAACCGGAUUAGAUACCCGGGUAGUCCCAGCUGUAAACGAUGCAGACUCGAUGAUGCAUUGGCAUAUAGCCAGUGCAGUGUCGCAGGGAAGCCGUUAAGUCUGCCGCCUGGGAAGUACGUACGCAAGUAUGAAACUUAAAGGAAUUGGCGGGGGAGCACCACAAGGGGUGAAGCCUGCGGUUCAAUUGGAUUCAACGCCGG